CCUGCAUUGUAUUGUCAAGCCAGUAACAAUGUCUUCAACUGCACAUCCAUAUACCAAUCCUAUCUCUUUGCCCCAUAGAGUGUCCUUCUCAUAGCUGCAACUAGAAACAACUUUUGAAGCUUCUUCAAGUUCAUUAACAGUCUUUUUAUCAUUCUUUUUAGUAUAAUUAGUGUCCAAUCUCAAUUUAUUGUCCUCAGAGUAACUAUUUCCACAGAGGCUCUCUCUUCUAUGGAAGCAUCCAGUGCCACAGUACAAUGCUGAACCAUAUCCACCCAUGCCAGCAAGCUCAACCUUAUUAGCAACAUUGUAUGAAUUAGCAUAGAGGUCAUUCUUGGUGAUGUUGUUAAAGGUUUGAGGAUGUUGCACAUAAGCAAUUUCAUGGCCUUUCUCCUCAUCCAUGAAGAAACAGAGAGCUUCUCUAAUUGCAUCUGAAUCAUUC
This 439-nucleotide unclassified non-coding RNA is filed under the name Hevea brasiliensis (rubber tree). The record is from RNAcentral. Lineage: Eukaryota; Viridiplantae; Streptophyta; Magnoliopsida; Malpighiales; Euphorbiaceae.